UACAGAGGGCCCAAGCGUUGUUCGGAUUCACUGGGCGUAAAGGGUGCGUAGGUGGUGGGGUAAGUCGGAUGUGAAAGCUCGGAGCUCAACUCCGAAAUGGCAUUGGAAACUACCCUGCUAGAGGAUUGGAGGGGGGACUGGAAUACUUGGUGUAGCAGUGAAAUGCGUAGAUAUCAAGUGGAACACCAGUGGCGAAGGCGAGUCCCUGGACAAUACCUGACACUGAGGCACGAAAGCUAGGGGAGCAAACAGG
This 253-nucleotide ribosomal RNA is filed under the name uncultured bacterium. RNAcentral's name for it is "partial 16S ribosomal RNA". It matches the Rfam family "Bacterial small subunit ribosomal RNA", at positions 524 to 776 of the family's 1533-position model. The record is from RNAcentral.